AUGUUGCGCGGUCUAAAGAGUGGAAGAUUCGCUAUACCAAUGAGCUGGAGAGGAAGGUCUAGACCCUUCAAACUGAAGCCACUACCCAUUCUGCGCAGGUUGCAUUGCUCCAGAGGGAUACUACUGGGUUAACUGCUGAGAAUAAGGAGCUCAAAAUGCGAUUACAGGCUAUGGAGCAAUAAGCACAACUCAGAGAGGGUACGGUUCUAUUACACCAGGGGAAGCAUUUGGGAGCCUUGUGAAAAUGGAAAAUGGAUAUUUUGUUUUUUGUUUGUUCUAGCUAUUAACAAUUUCAAGUUAACCAAAUUCUCUUCUUUGCUUUUUACUCUUUCAAGGAAUGAAUCCAUGUUGUUAUUUUCUUUUUCUCAUCCACAGCUCUGAACAAAAAAUUGAGGGAAGAAGUUCAGCGCCUCAAGAUAGCAAUCGGGCAAGUUCCCUCUAACAAUGCAAUAUGUUCAACCGAGGACUCGCUCCCCAAUUCGCC
Long non-coding RNA from Humulus lupulus (European hop), 484 nucleotides. RefSeq lists it as uncharacterized. The record is from RefSeq and is a predicted model, not a curated record. Lineage: Eukaryota; Viridiplantae; Streptophyta; Magnoliopsida; Rosales; Cannabaceae. The transcript has 3 exons.